Symsagittifera roscoffensis is the source of this 1096-nucleotide long non-coding RNA. RefSeq lists it as uncharacterized. The record is from RefSeq and is a predicted model, not a curated record. The transcript has 3 exons. Lineage: Eukaryota; Metazoa; Xenacoelomorpha; Acoela; Convolutidae.
CUUUUACAACAUAGCACUUCAUUAGAAGGCUGAAUUAGUUAUUCUGCCUGAAAUCUCUCAAUUUCACACGCUUCGUUUACCAUUCUAUCUAGUAGUAGUUACCAUUUCACUACUACUACCUUUUGACGCCACGAAUAAGCCCAAAUACCCUCCAACUCUAAUAAAAACAAAACGGGUUCAAGACGGCAGCGGGAAAUACUCCUUUGUUAGCUUUAGCUUUGUGUACCAUAAUCGUUGCAGUUAGAGGGAUUUGUAUGCUUAUUUAGAAAUCAGAAGAGUCUUUUGAGUUGAAAUUGGGUAUAGUCACUUCCAAUAAAUUUUAAAAUCUGUUUAGCGGUCACAAUUUUGAUUUACAAUUCAACUCUUUGAAUCUGAAAGCUUACCUUCUUCUGAACGAAAAAUACUUGUAAGGGAAAAAAUUGGCUCUUCAUCUGUUACUUUUUCUUUUUGAAGUCGGUGUAAAAUUAUAAUUACGUCGAAUCCUUCGUUAAAAAAACGCUGCAGUACAGAUUUUCAAACCGUGCAGAAAAAAAUUCGACAAUGAAGAUUCCAGUUCAACUUCACACUGAAACGAAGCCGGAAGGUCAAUUCUUCUGUACGCUGACUUUCACAAUCAAGACUAUUGAACUUAAUAUGGAAAAGACUAGAGUUGACAUGCUCGGCAGCAACAUAGUCGCUUUGCACGUAGAAAACGAGGAGGGAAUAGAAGACGAAGACUACCACUUAGAGUUCGACUCGGCCGAAGACGCCCGAUUAGUCUCGCUAAAACUGAAGGCAAAAAGUGGCCAUGAAAUAAAUAUGGACUGUCAUUUGAUUCCCGAAGAUGAGAGGCAUGGAUGUAAAUUUGGACAGUUUUCAUUCAUAAGUGGCCUCUUUUAGUUAAAUUGAGAAGCAACUGGUAGCUGAACUACACCAUAACUUUUCCUGAAACAAUGGCCGAAGUUUUUUGUAAUAAUUUUAGCCAUAGGUGCCAUUAUGAUUUAAAAUCAUCGGGCCAACAUUAAAUUGCAUCCUUCACCCACUUUAAUUAUUUUGGCAUGUUUAAAUGUUGUACUGCAUAUAAUAUAUUUGGUUAAUUAUACAUCUUUAAUGUUUG